AUUGAACGCUGGCGGCAGGCUUAACACAUGCAAGUCGAGCGGGGUGAUGGUGCUUGCACUAUCACUUAGCGGCGGACGGGUGAGUAAUGCUUAGGAAUCUGCCUAUUAGUGGGGGACAACAUCUCGAAAGGGAUGCUAAUACCGCAUACGUCCUACGGGAGAAAGCAGGGGAUCACUUGUGACCUUGCGCUAAUAGAUGAGCCUAAGUCGGAUUAGCUAGUUGGUGGGGUAAAGGCCUACCAAGGCGACGAUCUGUAGCGGGUCUGAGAGGACGAUCCGCCACACUGGGACUGGGACACGGCCCAGACUCCUACGGGAGGCAGCAGUGGGGAAUAUUGGACAAUGGGGGGAACCCUGAUCCAGCUAUGCCGCGUGUGUGAAGAAGGCCUUAUGGUUGUAAAGCACUUUAAGCGAGGAGGAGGCUCUUUUGGUUAAUACCCAAGAUGAGUGGACGUUACUCGCAGAAUAAGCACCGGCUAACUCUGUGCCAGCCGCCGCGGUAA
RNAcentral lists this ribosomal RNA (503 nucleotides) under uncultured bacterium. Its description in RNAcentral is "partial 16S ribosomal RNA". It matches the Rfam family "Bacterial small subunit ribosomal RNA", at positions 30 to 523 of the family's 1533-position model. The record is from RNAcentral.